RNAcentral lists this ribosomal RNA (497 nucleotides) under uncultured bacterium. RNAcentral's name for it is "partial 16S ribosomal RNA". It matches the Rfam family "Bacterial small subunit ribosomal RNA", at positions 28 to 507 of the family's 1533-position model. The record is from RNAcentral.
GAUGAACGCUGGCGGCGUGCCUAACACAUGCAAGUCGAACGAAAAGACGAGGAGCUUGUGCCUCUGACGGUAGCGGCGGACGGGUGAGUAACGCGUGCAUCACAUACUUCUAUGUCUGGGAGGAUUACGGGAAACCGGAGCUAAUACCGGAUAAUAUAUUGAACUGCAUGGUUCAAUAGUGAAUGACGGCUUUGGUGUCUGUUAGAGCUGGUUCCGCGUCGCAUUAGCUAGUUGGUAAGGUAACGGCUUACCAAGGCGACGAUGCGUAGCCGAUCUGAGAGGGUGAUCGGCCACACUGGAACUGAGACACGGUCCAGACUCCUACGGGAGGCAGCAGUAGGGAAUCUUCCGCAAUGGGCGAAAGCCUGAUGCAGCAACACCGCGUGAGUGAUGAAGGCCUUCGGUUCGUAAAGCCCUGUUGUUGGGAAAGAACAAAUGCGUAAUUAACCAUGGCCGUCUUGACGGUACCUAAACAAUAAGCCACGGCUAACUACGUG